CAAAAAUAAAAGAUAAUAUUUGAAAUAAAAGCUCUCACUUCCGGUUACCUCUCGUCCGGCAGCGGUACACUUCCGGUUGAAAGUAAGCCAGGCAUCUAUCUUCCAAUAUUCUAAUACAUACAUUCAUAUCUUCAUUUAAAGCAGAACAAAUUGAAUCAUUAACUAACUACGUGGUUUAUAAAGAUCACCAGACAUGGACAGCCCAGCUAUUGGCUUUUGAGUUCGAUUAAACUAAGGUGAUGCCAAGCUAACAUGUUAGCUUAGCCAGGAAUGAAUUGACUUUUCGGGGUAAACCCUUUUCUAGUUCAGUAACUAACACUUUUUUUUUGGCUGCUGUUUUGCUGAAUGGACGCUUUCCAGUUCAUUAUUUAUUUUCUAUCAACUUCUGCAGUGAAGUGAAUUAUAAUUAUAUAGCGCUUUUCUCUAGUGACUCAAAGCACUUUACAAGCAGUGUGGGUGGCACUGGGAGCAGGUGGGUAAAGCGGGGAUCGAACCUGGAACCCUCAAGGUUGCUGCCACGUCCACCCCACCAACCUAGCUAUACAGCCCCAGUGUGUGAAGCUGUUCUAUUUUAACCACACCGUGUUAGUGUCCUCUCGCCAUAACAUCCUCCUUAACCUCCAUCCUUUGACUGGAUCGAUGGAGGAGAUGGGCAUUUCACCUGCAGCUAUGAUCACAUCACCAUGGAAACGGCCUACAGGGUCGCGGGGGGUGUUGGCGCCUAUCUCAGCUACAAUCGGGCGGAAGGCAGUGUACACCCUGGACAAGUCGCCACCUCAUCGCAGGGCCAACACAGAUAGACAGACAACAUUCACACUCACAUUCACACACUAGGGCCAAUUUAGUGUUGCCAAUCAACCUAUCCCCAGGUGCAUGUCUUUGGAAGUGGGAGGAAGCCGGAGUACCCGGAGGGAACCCACGCUUCCACGGGGAGAACAUGCAAACUCCACACAGAAAGAUUCCGAACCUGGAUUUGAACCCAGGACUGCAGGAACUUCGUAUUGUGAGGCAGACGCACUAACCCCUCUUCCACCGUGAAGCCCGCCCUAAAUUCAGAUGUAUUUCAAUGCAUCUCAUGCCCUAAAUUCAGAUGUAUUUCAA
Nerophis ophidion (straightnose pipefish) is the source of this 1101-nucleotide long non-coding RNA. RefSeq lists it as uncharacterized. The record is from RefSeq and is a predicted model, not a curated record. Lineage: Eukaryota; Metazoa; Chordata; Actinopteri; Syngnathiformes; Syngnathidae. The transcript is spliced from 3 exons.